Molecule: ribosomal RNA, 253 nt
Filed under: uncultured bacterium
Lineage: Bacteria
Description: partial 16S ribosomal RNA
Rfam family: Bacterial small subunit ribosomal RNA
Source: RNAcentral
UACGUAGGGUGCGAGCGUUGUCCGGAAUUACUGGGCGUAAAGAGCUCGUAGGCGGCUUGUCGCGUCGGAUGUGAAAGCCCGGGGCUUAACUCCGGGUCUGCAUUCGAUACGGGCAGGCUAGAGUUCGGUAGGGGAGAUCGGAAUUCCUGGUGUAGCGGUGAAAUGCGCAGAUAUCAGGAGGAACACCGGUGGCGAAGGCGGAUCUCUGGGCCGAUACUGACGCUGAGGAGCGAAAGCGUGGGGAGCGAACAGG